GGAUGGAUCAUUCUAGUUCAACAAACCAACACAAGGAUACUUUUACCCUCACAAACAUACUUUAUUUUUCACUUAAAACGAAAACUUUUGGCGAUGGAUGACUCGACUCUCGUAACGAGGAAGGACGCAGCAAACUGCGAUAAGCAUUAUGACUUGCGAACACUCGUGAAUCACUCGACUUCUGAACGCAAUUGUACUCUUUGACUUGUCUUCGAGUAUGUUUGGUUCGGCAUCUUUUAGAUUUGACAAUAUGUCGAUCAAUGCUCUCAGGCGUUGCCCGUUAGCAUAUUGGAAUCGAAACGAUUGUAUUCUCACACCUUAGUGGUUACUGUGGGGUAAGGAUGCAUCGUGGAUACUUAUGAAUCUGGAUCCGAGCUCAAGCAAGAAUACCCGCUGAAUUUAAGCAUAUAACUAAGCGGAGGAAAAGAAACCAACAGGGAUUCUCAGAGUAGUGGCGAACGAAAUGGGAACAGCCCAAGAUGUGAAUCCAGUUCGCGCUGGAAUUGUGCAUCGUGUCACUGCAAGCAAGAACUUCCGGAUAAGAUGUCAGGAAAGACAUGCCGUAGACGGUGAUAGCCCGGUCUGAGCUGGAAGCUUCAAGCGUACUGUAGUGGCACAAUGAGUCACGCUCUUUGGGAGUAGAGCGCAAAAAGGGUGGUAACCUCCAUCCACGGCUAAAUACUAACGAGAGAUCGAUAGCAAACAAGUACCGUGAGGGAAAGUUGAAAAGCACUUCGAAAGGAGAGUUAAAAUACCUGAAAUCGCCAAAAGGGAAGCGACUGUCUGUGACCCGCUCAUUACGAGGACGAACAUAGCAAAACCUAAUCUCUCGAGGCAGCUAAACCGGCCACGGGGGAGGAAGGAUUAAUGUUCUGUCCCUUUAAUGACACUUGGCAACACUUCGAGCGUCUUUCACACCAGCGGAGCUUGCUCCGUUGGCUGCCAUGGACACUUGGAGUGACGCGUGCCUCUGUAGGUUGCCAAGAGUGGCACAAACAGGCGACCCGUCUUGAAACACGGACCAAGGAGUUAAACAUGUGUGCGAGUGUAAGAGUAACAAACUCCUACGCGCAGUGAAAGCAAUUACGGUAGAUCCCAAUUCAACCGUGGCCGACUAUUAAGUUCGAGCUUGAGCAUAUUUGUUUAGACCCGAAAGAUGGUGACCUAUACCUGAGUUGGGUGAAGCCAGGGGAAACCCUGGUGGAAGCUCGUAGCGAUACUGACGUGCAAAUCGUUCGUCGAACUUGGGCAUAGGGGCGAAAGACUAAUCGAACCGUCUAGUAGCUGGUUCCCUC
This 1295-nucleotide unclassified non-coding RNA is filed under the name uncultured fungus. RNAcentral describes it as "sequence contains 18S rRNA gene, ITS1, 5.8S rRNA gene, ITS2, 28S rRNA gene". The stretch from base 367 to 1295 matches the Rfam family "Eukaryotic large subunit ribosomal RNA", at positions 1 to 961 of the family's 3401-position model. The record is from RNAcentral. Lineage: Eukaryota; Fungi.